RNAcentral lists this ribosomal RNA (253 nucleotides) under uncultured bacterium. RNAcentral's name for it is "partial 16S ribosomal RNA". It matches the Rfam family "Bacterial small subunit ribosomal RNA", at positions 524 to 776 of the family's 1533-position model. The record is from RNAcentral.
UACAGAGGUCCCAAGCGUUGUUCGGAUUCACUGGGCGUAAAGGGUGCGUAGGCGGUCGGGUAAGUCUGAUGUGAAAUCUCCAAGCUCAACUUGGAAAUGGCAUCGGAUACUAUUCGGCUCGAGGAAUGGAGGGGAGACUGGAAUACUUGGUGUAGCAGUGAAGUGCGUAGAUAUCAAGUGGAACACCAGUGGCGAAGGCGAGUCUCUGGACAUUUCCUGACGCUGAGGCACGAAAGCCAGGGGAGCAAACGGG